AGUGAACGCUGGCGGUAGGCCUAACACAUGCAAGUCGAACGGCAGCACAGUAAGAGCUUGCUCUUACGGGUGGCGAGUGGCGGACGGGUGAGGAAUACAUCGGAAUCUACUUUUUCGUGGGGGAUAACGUAGGGAAACUUACGCUAAUACCGCAUACGACCUACGGGUGAAAGCAGGGGAUCUUCGGACCUUGCGCGAUUGAAUGAGCCGAUGUCGGAUUAGCUAGUUGGCGGGGUAAAGGCCCACCAAGGCGACGAUCCGUAGCUGGUCUGAGAGGAUGAUCAGCCACACUGGAACUGAGACACGGUCCAGACUCCUACGGGAGGCAGCAGCGGGGAAUAUUGGACAAUGGGCGCAAGCGUGAUCCAGCCAUACCGCGUGGGUGAAGAAGGCCUUCGGGUUGUAAAGCCCUUUUGUUGGGAAAGAAAAGCAGCAGGUUAAUACCCCGCUGUUCUGACGGUACCCAAAGAAUAAGCACCGGCUAACUUCGUG
This 492-nucleotide ribosomal RNA is filed under the name uncultured bacterium. RNAcentral's name for it is "partial 16S ribosomal RNA". It matches the Rfam family "Bacterial small subunit ribosomal RNA", at positions 29 to 507 of the family's 1533-position model. The record is from RNAcentral.